This 253-nucleotide ribosomal RNA is filed under the name uncultured bacterium. RNAcentral describes it as "partial 16S ribosomal RNA". It matches the Rfam family "Bacterial small subunit ribosomal RNA", at positions 524 to 776 of the family's 1533-position model. The record is from RNAcentral.
UACGAGAACCCCAAGCGUUAUCCGGAAUCACUGGGCUUAAAGCGUGUGUAGGCGGGUCGUUAAGUGUCUUGUGAAAUCCCCCGGCUCAACCGGGGAAUGGCUGGGCAUACUGGCGAUCUUGAGCAGUCUAGGGGCAGAUGGAACAGACGGUGGAGCGGUGAAAUGCGUAGAUAUCGUCUGGAACGCCAAAGGUGAAGACAGUCUGCUGGGGACUUGCUGACGCUGAGACACGAAAGCCAGGGGAGCGAACGGG